GUAGUGGUGGUUCAGUGGUGGAAUUCUCUCCUUCUAUGCGGGAGACCCAGGUUCGAUUCCCGGCUAAUGCG
RNAcentral lists this transfer RNA (71 nucleotides) under Loxodonta africana (African savanna elephant). It matches the Rfam family "tRNA". From Rfam's summary of the family: Transfer RNA (tRNA) molecules are approximately 80 nucleotides in length. Their secondary structure includes four short double-helical elements and three loops (D, anti-codon, and T loops). Further hydrogen bonds mediate the characteristic L-shaped molecular structure. tRNAs have two regions of fundamental functional importance: the anti-codon, which is responsible for specific mRNA codon recognition, and the 3' end, to which the tRNAs corresponding amino acid is attached (by aminoacyl-tRNA synthetases). tRNAs cope with the degeneracy of the genetic code in two manners: having more than one tRNA (with a specific anti-codon) for a particular amino acid; and 'wobble' base-pairing, i.e. permitting non-standard base-pairing at the 3rd anti-codon position. The record is from Rfam by way of RNAcentral. Lineage: Eukaryota; Metazoa; Chordata; Mammalia; Proboscidea; Elephantidae.